GACGAACGCUGGCGGCGUGCUUAACACAUGCAAGUCGAGCGGUAAGGCCCUUUCGGGGGUACACGAGCGGCGAACGGGUGAGUAACACGUGGGUGACCUGCCCUCAGCUCUGGGAUAAGCCUGGGAAACUGGGUCUAAUACUGGAUAUGACUCCACGGUGCAUGUCGUGGGGUGGAAAGCCUUGUGCGGCUGAGGAUGGGCCCGCGGCCUAUCAGCUUGUUGGUGGGGUGANGGCCUACCAAGGCGACGACGGGUAGCCGGCCUGAGAGGGCGACCGGCCACACUGGGACUGAGACACGGCCCAGACUCCUACGGGAGGCAGCAGUGGGAAAUCUUGCGCAAUGGGCGAAAGCCUGACGCAGCGACGCCGCGUGAGGGAUGACGGCCU
RNAcentral lists this ribosomal RNA (388 nucleotides) under uncultured bacterium. Its description in RNAcentral is "bacterial SSU rRNA". It matches the Rfam family "Bacterial small subunit ribosomal RNA", at positions 28 to 417 of the family's 1533-position model. The record is from RNAcentral.